AUGAACCUCACACCCAUGAGCUCAGGUUUGUCCAACCUAAACAAAGCACAGACAAUAGAGCUCGUUACCUCAACAUGUGAUAUUAGAGGCACGGAAAAUCAACAAGUUCAAUGCACAAAUAUGGUUGUUGAUCAGCCUACAUGGGCUGGGAAUCUUGUGAGCAAUUCUGGUGAUGUUUCUACAUUUCUUAGAAAGCUAAUUGACCAAGGAAAAGUUAGUGUUGGUGAUAUACAAUCAGAACUGAGUCUCUCAUCUGAAUCGUUGGAAGCUGCUCUUGAGAAAAUUGGGGGCAAAUCAUGGCUGGAGCAUAUGUGA
Molecule: ribosomal RNA, 315 nt
Filed under: Triticum aestivum (bread wheat)
Lineage: Eukaryota; Viridiplantae; Streptophyta; Magnoliopsida; Poales; Poaceae
Description: partial small subunit ribosomal RNA
Source: RNAcentral